Molecule: ribosomal RNA, 411 nt
Filed under: uncultured soil bacterium
Lineage: Bacteria
Description: bacterial SSU rRNA
Rfam family: Bacterial small subunit ribosomal RNA
Source: RNAcentral
AGAACGAACGCUGGCGGCAUGCCUAAUACAUGCAAGUCGAACGAACACUUCGGUGUUAGUGGCGCACGGGUGCGUAACGCGUGGGAAUCUGCCCUUGGGUUCGGAAUAACAGUUGGAAACGACUGCUAAUACCGGAUGAUGACGAAAGUCCAAAGAUUUAUCGCCCAGGGAUGAGCCCGCGUAGGAUUAGCUAGUUGGUGAGGUAAAGGCUCACCAAGGCGACGAUCCUUAGCUGGUCUGAGAGGAUGAUCAGCCACACUGGGACUGAGACACGGCCCAGACUCCUACGGGAGGCAGCAGUAGGGAAUAGUGGACAAGUGGGCGCAAGCCUGAUCCAGCAAUGCCGCGUGAGUGAUGAAGGCCUUAGGGUGUAAAGCUCUUUAUCCGAGAUGAUAAUGACAGUAUCGGAAG